AAUAUUGCGCAAUGGACGGAAGUCUGACGCAGCGACGCCGCGUGAGCGAUGAAGGUCUUCGGAUCGUAAAGCUCUGUCCUUGGGGAAGAAGGGCUUCGGCCUUGACGGUACCCAAGAAGAAAGCCCCGGCUAUCUACGUGCCAGCAGCCGCGGUAAUACGCAGGGGGCGAGCGUUGUCCGGAAUUACUGGGCGUAAAGGGUGCGUAGGCGGCCCUUUAAGUCAGAUGUGAAAGGCCACGGCUUAACCGUGGAACUGCAUUUGAAACUGGAGGGCUUGAGUGUCGGAGAGGGUAGUGGAAUUCCCAGUGUAGCGGUGAAAUGCGUAGAUAUUGGGAGGAACACCAGUGGCGAAGGCGACAUACUGGCUCAUUACUGACGCUGAGGCGCGAAAGCGUGGGGAGCAAACAG
RNAcentral lists this ribosomal RNA (408 nucleotides) under uncultured bacterium. Its description in RNAcentral is "partial 16S ribosomal RNA". It matches the Rfam family "Bacterial small subunit ribosomal RNA", at positions 360 to 775 of the family's 1533-position model. The record is from RNAcentral.